RNAcentral lists this long non-coding RNA (281 nucleotides) under Homo sapiens (human). RNAcentral's name for it is "HSALNT0210218". The record is from RNAcentral. Lineage: Eukaryota; Metazoa; Chordata; Mammalia; Primates; Hominidae.
AUAGAGUCUCACUCUUUUGCUCUCGUUGGAGUGCUGUGGUACAAUCUUGGCUCACUGCAACCUCCACAGAAUUGGAAAAAACUACUUUAAAUUUCAUAUGGAGCCAAAAAAAAAAAAAAACAGCCUGCAUAUUCAAGACAAUCCUGGGCAAGAAGAACAAAGACAAAGGCCUUUUAAUAGCAAUUCUAGACGAAACUCCAACACAUUUCCCACCUGUAUGAACUCUCGAAGUUCCAAGAGCAACAUCAGUCAGGGGAUUUAUUUUUAAGGCAUGUCCUACA